This 372-nucleotide ribosomal RNA is filed under the name uncultured bacterium. RNAcentral describes it as "bacterial SSU rRNA". It matches the Rfam family "Bacterial small subunit ribosomal RNA", at positions 521 to 895 of the family's 1533-position model. The record is from RNAcentral.
UAAUACGGAGGGUGCAAGCGUUAUCCGGAUUCACUGGGUUUAAAGGGUGCGUAGGCGGAUAGGUAAGUCCGUGGUGAAAUCCUGCAGCUUAACUGCAGAACUGCCAUGGAUACUAUUUAUCUUGAAUAUCGUGGAGGUUAGCGGAAUAUGUCAUGUAGCGGUGAAAUGCUUAGAUAUGACAUAGAACACCCAUUGCGAAGGCAGCUAACUACGCGAUCAUUGACGCUGAUGCACGAAAGCGUGGGGAUCAAACAGGAUUAGAUACCCUGGUAGUCCACGCCCUAAACGAUGAUUACUCGACAUUGGUGAUACACAGUCAGUGUCUGAGCGAAAGCAUUAAGUAAUCCACCUGGGAAGUACGAUCGCAAGAUU